CAGUCGCCGCGGUAAUACGGAGGGUGCAAGCGUUAAUCGGAAUUACUGGGCGUAAAGCGCACGCAGGCGGUUUGUUAAGUCAGAUGUGAAAUCCCCGAGCUUAACUUGGGAACUGCAUUUGAAACUGGCAAGCUAGAGUCUUGCAGAGGGGGGUAGAAUUCCAGGUGUAGCGGUGAAAUGCGUAGAGAUCUGGAGGAAUACCGGUGGCGAAGGCGGCCCCCUGGACAAAGACUGACGCUCAGGUGCGAAAGCGUGGGGAGCAAACAGGAUUAGAUACCCGUGUAGUCCCUGUCUCUUAUAC
RNAcentral lists this ribosomal RNA (301 nucleotides) under uncultured bacterium. RNAcentral describes it as "partial 16S ribosomal RNA". It matches the Rfam family "Bacterial small subunit ribosomal RNA", at positions 509 to 807 of the family's 1533-position model. The record is from RNAcentral.